UCGAGAAUCUUCCGCAAUGGGCGAAAGCCUGACGGAGCGACGCCGCGUGGAGGACGAAGGCCUUCGGGUUGUAAACUCCUGUCACGGAUUAAGAAUGUCGUGCGGUGAAUAGUCGUACGAUUGACGUAAGUCCGAGAGGAAGCACUGGCUAACUCUGUGCCAGCAGCCGCGGUAAUACAGAGAGUGCAAACGUUGUUCGGAAUUACUGGGCUUAAAGCGCACGUAGGCGGCGCCGCAAGUGUGGGGUGAAAGCCCACGGCUUACCCGUGGAAUUGCCUGGCAGACUGCGGUGCUAGAGUGUGGUAGGGGAGAGCGGAACUCCUGGUGGAGCGGUGAAAUGCGUAGAUAUCAGGAGGAACACCGGUGGCGAAGGCGGCUCUCUGGUCCACAACUGACGCUGAGGUGCGAAAGCUAGGGGAGCAAACGGGAUUAGAUACCCUUGUAGUCCCUGAGCGGGCUGGCAAGGCGCAU
RNAcentral lists this ribosomal RNA (471 nucleotides) under uncultured bacterium. Its description in RNAcentral is "bacterial SSU rRNA". It matches the Rfam family "Bacterial small subunit ribosomal RNA", at positions 355 to 825 of the family's 1533-position model. The record is from RNAcentral.